AGUGAACGCUGGCGGUAGGCCUAACACAUGCAAGUCGAACGGCAGCACAGUAAGAGCUUGCUCUUACGGGUGGCGAGUGGCGGACGGGUGAGGAAUACAUCGGAAUCUACUUUUUCGUGGGGAAUAACGUAGGGAAACUUACGCUAAUACCGCAUACGACCUACGGGUGAAAGCAGGGGAUCUUCGGACCUUGCGCGAUUGAAUGAGCCGAUGUCGGAUUAGCUAGUUGGCGGGGUAAAGGCCCACCAAGGCGACGAUCCGUAGCUGGUCUGAGAGGAUGAUCAGCCACACUGGAACUGAGACAAGGUCCAGACUCCUACGGGAGGCAGCAGUGGGGAAUAUUGGACAAUGGGCGCAAGCCUGAUCCAGCCAUACCGCGUGGGUGAAGAAGGCCUUCGGGUUGUAAAGCCCUUUUGUUGGGAAAGAAAAGCAGCAGGUUAAUACCCCGCUGUUCUGACGGUACCCAAAGAAUAAGCACCGGCUAACUUCGUG
RNAcentral lists this ribosomal RNA (492 nucleotides) under uncultured bacterium. RNAcentral's name for it is "partial 16S ribosomal RNA". It matches the Rfam family "Bacterial small subunit ribosomal RNA", at positions 29 to 507 of the family's 1533-position model. The record is from RNAcentral.